RNAcentral lists this ribosomal RNA (373 nucleotides) under uncultured bacterium. RNAcentral's name for it is "bacterial SSU rRNA". It matches the Rfam family "Bacterial small subunit ribosomal RNA", at positions 527 to 898 of the family's 1533-position model. The record is from RNAcentral.
GUAGGGUGCGAGCGUUAAUCGGAAUUACUGGGCGUAAAGCGUGCGCAGGCGGUUUCGUAAGACAGAGGUGAAAUCCCCGGGCUCAACCUGGGAACUGCCUUUGUGACUGCGAGGCUAGAGUAUGGCAGAGGGGGGUGGAAUUCCACGUGUAGCAGUGAAAUGCGUAGAGAUGUGGAGGAACACCGAUGGCGAAGGCAGCCCCCUGGGCCAAUACUGACGCUCAUGCACGAAAGCGUGGGGAGCAAACAGGAUUAGAUACCCUGGUAGUCCACGCCCUAAACGAUGUCGACUAGUUGUUGGUGGGGUUAAACCCAUUAGUAACGUAGCUAACGCGUGAAGUCGACCGCCUGGGGAGUACGGCCGCAAGGUUAAA